RNAcentral lists this unclassified non-coding RNA (362 nucleotides) under soil metagenome. Its description in RNAcentral is "partial contains 5.8S ribosomal RNA, internal transcribed spacer 2, and large subunit ribosomal RNA". The stretch from base 1 to 120 matches the Rfam family "5.8S ribosomal RNA", at positions 35 to 154 of the family's 154-position model. The record is from RNAcentral.
GAUGAAGAACGUAGCGAAAUGCGAUAAGUAAUGUGAAUUGCAGAAUUCAGUGAAUCAUCGAAUCUUUGAACGCACAUUGCGCCCGGUAGUAAUCUGCCGGGCAUGCCUGUCCGAGCGUCAUUUCAACCCUCGAACCACUAUUCGCGUAGCUGGAUCGGUGUUGGGGCACUACGGUGGAAUACCCGUAGGCCCCGAAAUGAAGUGGCGGUCCCGCCGCGGCGCCCCCAUGCGUAGUAACAUCUCGUCUCGCAUCGGGUCCCGGCGGAGGCCUGCCGUCAAGCCUAUUUUCUAAUUACAGAUGGUUUGACCUCGGAUCAGGUAGGGUUACCCGCUGAACUUAAGCAUAUCAAUAAGCGGGAGGA